AAACAGCUUUGGGACAGAAAGCCCCCUUCAUACAUGGCGAGAACACAAGACCCCACACACAAACCCAAAAGUUUGUGUUUGUCAUGUGGCUGGGAGACCCAUUGAUGAGUCUCAAGCCACCUUUGUGUCUGUGCAGGUGAACUACCUUAACAAGUCUCUGGACACCUUCAACACCCUGCUGGUAUAUCCUAUCUACUAUGUCCUCUUCACCUCUGUGGUCCUUUCCACCUCCAUCAUCCUCUUCCAGGAGUGGAGCAGCAUGUCUGCCGUGGAUGUGGUCACAACGCUGGGCUCGUUCCUGGUCAUCGUGGUGGGUGUGGCCUUGCUGCACCUGUUCAGGGAGCUGCAGAUUACAAUGAAGCAACUGACCAAUCAGCUUUCUCAGCCAGUGGAGAGGGAGGGACUUACAGAAGAGGUCACAACCAAUGGAAGAGGAGGAAGGAAUAAAAAGGAGGAUAAAUAUGGACUGAUGGACAAUGUAGUGAUAGAAAGUCUGCCUCCUAUGAGAGAGGAAGGACCCAGAGUCUUCAUAAUCAGCUGAAAAAGAGAAUUCCAGAAGUUUCUGCACUGUUACUUGAUAUUUCCUGCACUUUUUCAAACUUUUGCUGCCGUCUUAGUUUAUGCUAUAGGUCCCUCCAAUCUCGCAUCAUGGUAUUUAACGGUACAGUACUAGUCGACCUUUUUAAUUUGUAAAUAUUUAAGAAAUCUUGCCUGUAAAUACCAAUUUAGUAGAAGGUUCAAAUAAUUUAUUGGAAAUAAGUACUUUAGAGCCCACACAAAAUAUGCCGUCAAAGAAAUAAUAAAUAAUAAUAAAUAAGACAAGUCGACAGAAAACAAGAAAAUCCCAAAAAUUGAUCAAAGUUUACCAUCAAACUGGUUAGUUAAAUAAUAUCAAACUGCUCCUCAUAGCUGUCAUUAACCUGGAGCAUUUUAAAGAUUUUAUUCUUUUUGAUCAUACGAGUCGACAACAUUAAAUUAUCAGAUGAGUUAGUGUCUUCUGUUAUGGACUCCAAAUUGGCUCUGCCUCUUCUUUCACAGGCGGUUUGGCUGGAAAGAGUUUUUCCAUGAUGUCUCAGGCUGUUCAUAAAUCACCAGUUGGACCCAAGAAGAGUCCCAAGAAGAUGUUAAUUGAAAAGACCAUCAUGGCACCAAAGAAGGUUUUUUGCAGUUGACCUUUUACCCCUAAUACUUUUUUCAAAGUUUUUGUGCUACUAGUGGCCUUUAUUAAACAGUAGAAAGGAAGAAAGGCAGAGAGACUAAAUAAAUUAUAAAGUCAAAUAUAAUUAAAUAUUGCUUUAAAAUGGUGAUUAUCUACAUUUCCAACAUGUACACUUGAUGUGACAACUUGUCAUAGGAGGAGGCUCACAUUUUCAUUUUGGCUGUUUUAAACAGACAUAGUGUCCUAAUUUAUUCAUCAUAAGAAAGAUGGUAUUAGUUUAAUAGGAAGCAUUUUUAAUCACUUAAUCACCAUUUUUCAAGGGUGUCAUUUAUUUGGGUGUUGUGUCACGCUCUGUGUGGCCUGAUUGUUGGAAACAAGGAAAACAAAAUAAGAUUUUGGCUGUUAUGCAGGGCACUGUGCUGCUUUCAAAAUGAACAGCUUAACUUUUGUUUUGGAACUGGACUGGUUAGAAGACUCUUCACUUUUGGUAUGAUUACCUACCAUUGCAAAUAUUAGCUCUGAGGCACUACCUUGCUUAGCAACUCUGAGGUCUAUUAAGUGUGGGUCUGCUUUCUCUGCUGGGCUGCUGUUUUUUGAAAUCCCUUCAAAAAAACUCAGCUUCUGCUUGAAGUGUUUGGUGACUGAAACUAGUUUCUUUCAGAUAAAGUUGUAGACAUUCAUUAAUGUUUUAUUUUACGUGUUAAAAUUACAAUUGAGGUACUAAUUAAAACAGAUAUCUCACAAAUGAGGUUAGAAAUGGGUCAAGAGACAUUUUCUUCUAAGUUAUUGUUCCAGUUGUCUGAGAUUCAGUAUCGUUAAGAGCCCUUCAUGACAACUGCUUCUUAGUAGAGGAACAUAGACAUUAGGCCUGCAACUAAGAAUUAAAUUGAUUCAUCUUAUCAAAUUUUUUCUAACAAUUGAUUAGUCAGCAAAAAAAUUUACUUCCACUUCGGAACUGCUAAACAGGAACAAAAGUUGAGGGUUUGAAGAAGUUUAACCAUUUUCUUCCAAAAGUAAUCCUCCAUUUCACUUUGUUUUCAGAAAUGGGUGAAACCACACCCCCACUGAUUUGUGUAAAUGGAGGAUAGUUUCUAUGUGCUGAAUUAUCUUUUGCUUUGAAAAGGUGGAUGAAUUUAAUUACACAAUAUGUGAUCAAUCUGAAUAUUAUAUGAAAAUGCAAUAUUUACAUUUUGAAAAAUAUAUUUAGUAUACCGAACUAUCAAAUAAUCGUGACAGUUAAGGAAGCUUUUUGGUUUUCAAAAUGAGACUCGACACCUCACCUUUGUGCAGAUUCUCUUACUGAAACAACUCAGAAGAAUUUAUAUCAAGACGAUCAGCAGUUGAUUUGAAUGAAGCUUAUUUCAUGAAAACUUAUAUAUUGUUUAUAUAUUUUUGUGGUUUAGCUUUAUCUAAAGUUGUAAAUCCAUAGUAUUAGGGCAGGGAGAAAUGCCUAUUUAUUUUGACCUUUGACUUUCAGUUGACAGAAUUAUUCUUUACAUGAAAGACUACAGUAUAUCUUAAAAAGGAUACAAUACAUUUCAAAAGAAUUCAUAAACAACUGAAGCUUUAAACACAAUCCAAUUUAACACCUCUGACAUUUUUACUUGUUAAAAUUGUCAUUAAGAGUUUGUUUUAAUUUGAAUUAAUUUAGUCUAUUUACUGAUUUAAAAGUGUGCUGUUGUCACAUCUGGGCCUCAUCAGGUUGAUCAAUUGUGAUCCCCCUUUGUGUUGCUGUCAUCAGACUGUGGCAUGGAGAAACACAUUACUGAUAAUGAAAUGUUUUUUGUCCUGAUGUCUCACUCUCCUCUGAGCUGAAGACUGGAGUAAUGAAGCAGACAAAACUCAGGGUGAGCUUGACCUUGGUAGGCAGGUCAAAAACAGUAGAUCAAGAUGUUGAAAGUGAGCGUUUGCUGCUGAACACAUUUAAGUUUGUGAAGCUUAGAGAAACCAAAGAACAAAUAAAAUUUUUGUUUCAGAAUUCACCUGA
Xiphophorus hellerii (green swordtail) is the source of this 3146-nucleotide long non-coding RNA. RefSeq lists it as uncharacterized. The record is from RefSeq and is a predicted model, not a curated record. The transcript has 2 exons. Lineage: Eukaryota; Metazoa; Chordata; Actinopteri; Cyprinodontiformes; Poeciliidae.